GACGAACGCUGGCGGCGUGCUUAACACAUGCAAGUCGAACGCUGAAGCCUAGCUUGCUGGGUGGAUGAGUGGCGAACGGGUGAGUAACACGUGAGUAACCUGCCCUCUUCUUUGGGAUAACGCCCGGAAACGGGUGCUAAUACUGGAUAUUCACUGGCCUUCGCAUGGGGGUUGGUGGAAAGGUUUUUUCUGGUGGGGGAUGGGCUCGCGGCCUAUCAGCUUGUUGGUGGGGUGAUGGCCUACCAAGGCUUUGACGGGUAGCCGGCCUGAGAGGGUGACCGGUCACAUUGGGACUGAGAUACGGCCCAGACUCCUACGGGAGGCAGCAGUGGGGAAUAUUGCACAAUGGGCGAAAGCCUGAUGCAGCGACGCCGCGUGAGGGAUGGAGGCCUUCGGGUUGUAAACCUCUUUCGCUCAUGGUCAAGCCGCAACUCAAGGUUGUGGUGAGGGUAGUGGGUAAAGAAGC
RNAcentral lists this ribosomal RNA (466 nucleotides) under uncultured bacterium. Its description in RNAcentral is "bacterial SSU rRNA". It matches the Rfam family "Bacterial small subunit ribosomal RNA", at positions 28 to 491 of the family's 1533-position model. The record is from RNAcentral.